CAGCAGUUGAGCUUGCGCACGCUGUGCAGCUCCGAGGCCUUGGCCCGGGUCAGAACCAUCUUCCGCGUCAGCUUCAUGGCGGCCGCCCAGGCCCGACCGGCGGGCGCCCCCGGCCUCCUGAUCCCGGGCGGGUGACGACUGCGCGGCGCGUGUCUCCAGGGGCGGGGCCCGCGUCGUCAGGGGCGGAUCCUGAGCCCAUUGGCGGCUCGGUUUCUUGCACAUCUGACACGGAUGGAUCCAGCUAGAUGUCUUGCCAACAGCUCCUGUGGCCCCACCCAGAAGCCAUGCAGCACAAAAGGACCAAAAGGACAGCUAGAUUUCAUCUCGCACCUAACCAAUCAGCACUCCCCAUGCUCUAGCCCCCUGUUCACCAAACUACCUUUAAACAACCCCUAACCUAUGAGCCUUCAAUUGUAACCGAGCAGCUUAGCAGCUGUGAAUCCAAAAUAUCUGAGACAGGACUCAAUCUGUUUAGAAAGUUUAUUUUGUCAAGGUUAAGGACAAGCCCAUGACACAGCCUCAGGAGGUCCUGACGACACGUGCCCUGGGUGGCUGGGGCACAGCUUGCUUUCAUACAUUUUUAGGGAGACAUGAGACAUCAAUCAAUAUGUGUAAGAUGGAAAAAGAGGAAAAAAUAUAUGUAUAAGAUGUACAUUAAGCCGGGCGCAG
RNAcentral lists this long non-coding RNA (669 nucleotides) under Pan troglodytes (chimpanzee). RNAcentral's name for it is "long non-coding RNA NONPTRT009419". Lineage: Eukaryota; Metazoa; Chordata; Mammalia; Primates; Hominidae. The record is from RNAcentral.